UACGGAGGAUGCGAGCGUUAUCCGGAUUUACUGGGCGUAAAGGGAGCGUAGGCGGCGUGCCAAGUCUGAUGUGAAAGGCCGGGGCUCAACCCCGGGACUGCAUUGGAAACUGGCAUGCUGGAGUGCCGGAGAGGUAAGCGGAAUUCCUAGUGUAGCGGUGAAAUGCGUAGAUAUUAGGAGGAACACCAGUGGCGAAGGCGGCUUACUGGACUGUAACUGACGUUGAGGCUCGAAAGCGUGGGGAGCAAACAGG
RNAcentral lists this ribosomal RNA (253 nucleotides) under uncultured Lachnospiraceae bacterium. Its description in RNAcentral is "partial 16S ribosomal RNA". It matches the Rfam family "Bacterial small subunit ribosomal RNA", at positions 524 to 776 of the family's 1533-position model. Lineage: Bacteria; Bacillati; Bacillota; Clostridia; Lachnospirales; Lachnospiraceae. The record is from RNAcentral.